RNAcentral lists this non-coding RNA (29 nucleotides) under Mus musculus (house mouse). The record is from RNAcentral. Lineage: Eukaryota; Metazoa; Chordata; Mammalia; Rodentia; Muridae.
UUCAGCCGGUGAAGCCAGAGAUUGGAUUC